Molecule: ribosomal RNA, 490 nt
Filed under: uncultured bacterium
Lineage: Bacteria
Description: partial 16S ribosomal RNA
Rfam family: Bacterial small subunit ribosomal RNA
Source: RNAcentral
AUUGAACGCUGGCGGCAUGCCUUACACAUGCAAGUCGAACGGCAGCAUGAUCUAGCUUGCUAGAUUGAUGGCGAGUGGCGAACGGGUCAGUAAUACAUCGGAACGUGCCCUGUAGUGGGGGAUAACUAGUCGAAAGAUUAGCUAAUACCGCAUACGACCUGAGGGUGAAAGUGGGGGACCGCAAGGCCUCAUGCUAUAGGAGCGGCCGAUGUCUGAUUAGCUAGUUGGUGAGGUAAAGGCUCACCAAGGCGACGAUCAGUAGCUGGUCUGAGAGGACGAUCAGCCACACUGGGACUGAGACACGGCCCAGACUCCUACGGGAGGCAGCAGUGGGGAAUUUUGGACAAUGGGCGAAAGCCUGAUCCAGCAAUGCCGCGUGUGUGAAGAAGGCCUUCGGGUUGUAAAGCACUUUUGUCCGGAAAGAAAUGGCUCUGGUUAAUACCUGGGGUCGAUGACGGUACCGGAAGAAUAAGGACCGGCUAACUACGUG